GGGCCUGCACAAGCGGUGGAGUAUGUGGUUUAAUUCGAUGCAACGCGAAGAACCUUACCAGGGUUUGACAUCCUGCGAAUCUCUUGGAAACGAGAGAGUGCCUUCGGGAACGCAGUGACAGGUGGUGCAUGGCUGUCGUCAGCUCGUGUCGUGAGAUGUUGGGUUAAGUCCCGCAACGAGCGCAACCCACGUCGUUAGUUGCCAGCAUUUAGUUGGGCACUCUAGCGAGACCGCCGGUGAUAAACCGGAGGAAGGUGUGGAUGACGUCAAGUCAUCAUGCCCCUUACAUCCUGGGCUACACACGUACUACAAUGCUACGGACAAAGGGCAGCAAACUCGCAAGGACAAGCAAAUCCCAUAAACCGUGGCUCAGUUCAGAUCGUAGGCUGCAACUCGCCUACGUGAAGGCGGAAUC
Molecule: ribosomal RNA, 415 nt
Filed under: uncultured bacterium
Lineage: Bacteria
Description: bacterial SSU rRNA
Rfam family: Bacterial small subunit ribosomal RNA
Source: RNAcentral